CUCAUUCUUUGGGUGCUGAUUCUGACUGAGCCCGGUGAGAGAGCGCGCAGUAGUAGCUCGGAGCGGCGAUGCUGCGCGAUACAGAGGCGUUAUCAGCUUAAGAAUACUGGAGCAUCCCUCGCGGCAACUGUUAACUGGCUCGUGAGAGUGCCUGCAUGCGCAAAACACGUUCCCGUUGGUAACUCCCGACUGUGCAGAAUUAGGCGGCAUCAUUCGCUCAUAUCUUCAUUAGAGAACCGGCUGACUCCCAGGUGGUAGCAUCAGAGACCCAGCCCUUUGGAGGACGUGCCUGGCUGUUAGCAGUCCGGUCUACAGAUUAUCCAGAGGUGUGGCCUUCCAGAGCCUCUGCCCCGCCCACUCUCUCCACUCUGCUCUGGCGUACCUGUCUCAGGUCCCUGUAGGGCAGCCAUGACAGAAACGGUGACGGCCAGGCACGGCAAG
Anguilla rostrata (American eel) is the source of this 441-nucleotide long non-coding RNA. RefSeq lists it as uncharacterized. The transcript has 3 exons. Lineage: Eukaryota; Metazoa; Chordata; Actinopteri; Anguilliformes; Anguillidae. The record is from RefSeq and is a predicted model, not a curated record.